Daucus carota subsp. sativus is the source of this 2510-nucleotide long non-coding RNA. RefSeq lists it as uncharacterized. The record is from RefSeq and is a predicted model, not a curated record. Lineage: Eukaryota; Viridiplantae; Streptophyta; Magnoliopsida; Apiales; Apiaceae. The transcript is spliced from 11 exons.
AUCUGUAAUUUCCAAUUUACUUUGGACUACCCACUUCGAAACGGGUUCCGACCCAGGAACAUUUGCUGCUAUUUUCUUCGGCGUUUGAUGAAAAAUCCGAAGGAAAACGGGCGACCCAUCACUCCUUAUGAAAUUACUUAUGAAAUUAUGCUGCAGUUGCCACGAUCCAUAGUUUCAGGGGAGGUUUCCUCCAUCUUUCACCAGUCUCCAAAUAUUCAAAUUCGAAUUCAGCAUCAUCUGCGGUUCAUCAGAGUUCAUUCAUCGACGUGCAACGGAUAAGGAUGGCAGUAUGUGUUUCUUCGUAGUAAUCAAUGGACAAUCCACCAUCUCCAUCAUCCAAUUCUCCGAGAUCGGCAAGUAGGUUAAACUGUAACUGUAACUGUAAUUGCAGCAGCGGCGUGUUUGUAAUUCACACUGCACUCCAUGAUAUGUGAACCAUGUUACUUCAGCGACAUAUGAGCGGAGAUUCCAAUGUAUAGGCAAGCAGUUUUCAAGGAUUUUUAUACUGAUGAUACUUAUAAUUCUGUAUGACCCGGACUCUGGUGGAUCAUCCGAGGAUCAUUUCAAAAUCUGCGGCACGUAAAGCUCUCCAUGAUUUCAACCACCUCUUUCUCAGUGAUUUUCGAAUUUCACUAACCCAGGCACAUUCGUAUCUUCCCCUGCAUUGUUCUGAUCAUACUUCUUAUGUUUAUUUCAUCGUGUCACACCUCUGUAUGAUACUUAUACUUUUUAUGUUUAUCAACUCAAACCUCAUGUAUGAUAAUGCGUCAUUUUCUAUCCAUGACGUUUAAAAUAAAUUAUAACUCUGUGUUUUUAUUAUACUGUAUUUCUGAGUAUUUCAUUGUUAACUUCGAUUUCAGGUUCCAAUACUACACCUGGUACUUGGUCUCAAAUCACUAAUCGAAGUCAUGGAGUCAGGAAUUCAACUCAGACAGAAGGCACUACCGGUCUUGGUGGUGGUCAAGGAUAUCUGACACCAUCAUAGAGGCAGCUGCAUGGCAUUGAUCUUUCUGGAUCAGGCGAGAUCUCAGAGAAGGGCACAUUAAUUGGCAAUCCGAGCUAUUUUUCAAUUGUUGAUUGUCUUUUGAUCAAUAAUUCUCGGUGAUUGUUUAAACUGGAUACAAGACACAAUUAACGUAAACUCAAUACCGGGUCUCUCAAUUUAUUGGACCGUCAUACCCCGGAAAAUACUACAAGUAUGUCUAGCCCUGAUUCGGAAAUCACUGUCGUGGUUCCUGAGCUGGAAAAAAUCGGUGUUAGGCGUCCAGCCUGGCUUUCCGUCAAUUUGUGAGUGGCUAAGAAGAAUGACAGGGCACUUACUGAUGGUGGGUAUGAUCAAUGAGGGGCCCCUUGAUCAGCAAAAGCUCAAGCGUCUGAUCAAGCCUAUUGAUGGAAGGUGAGAUCGUAUUGGUUGCUAUUGAGAAGCUUAAUAAGGACGGAUUUCAGGUAGUGUGUUGACGGGACGUGACCAACAGAGUAAUGUGAAAAACACCCACCUUCCUCUUGGUAGCUUGCAAGGUCGUUUCCUGAGUCCUGAAUACCGAUGACAUACAGGGGUUCGGGCUCUGUCAUAGAGGUCUUAUGUUCAAAAGAAACAUAACAAAAGAAAAAUUAGACAGUCUUAUGUUCUGGGAUUUGGGGUUUGAGUUAGCAAUCGACAGUGCAUAUAAAGUGUUUGAUGUGUGUUAAUUUUGUUUUAUUUUUGUUGCAUACUUGAACCGAUAAUAAGAAAUGAGCUAGAUAAUUAAUCCUCAAGUCUUGCAUUUGUCAAUACCCAGGUGGGAUUAUUUAUAUUACUCAUUAUAAUGCAUGAUUGAUUUUGUCUUUUUAAUUGAUUUUAGGAACUUUGGAUUCAAGCAGAACUCUUGGCAAUUUAAGCACAACCUAAUUUGAUUUUCUGUUGAACUUAUUUGCAGAACUCUAUACAAGCAGGAUUGGCCUCAACCCAGCAAAGUUAUGUCUUGCAAUCCACAAGUCGGGGUGCAGCAACACCGGCUCCGAGACGGUCAUGUUGCAGUUCAUGAGAUGUAUGCUUCAAGUGAGAACGUGAAUCCAAAUACAACAUCCAGAAUAAAGCUUGCGUUUGGUACAUCAUCUCAUCUUCAGUGCAAGAAAUAUGGGAGUCAACACCAUGCAUCAGGUUCACGUCUGGAAACUCUAACUCUCGCCGAUAAUUAAUGCCAGAUGCCAUCGCAUCCUACCUAAGCAUCAGGUUCCAAUAUUCCAAAUCGAACUCAAUCCAAUCAUCCAUGUCAUGGGUUUCAAAAAUUAACUCAAGCCUCACGAUAUGAUGCUGCAUCAUUGUCUAAUCAUGACGUUUAGUCCAAAUUUGUAUCUUUAUUUUUAUACAUGUGUAUUCUGAGUAUUGCCUGGUAUUGUAGGUUCCCAAAAAUGUUCCUGUAAUACUUUCAUGUAGCUCAGAAAUGUUCCGGUAGCUUUCAUAUAUUGUAUUAAGAUUGCUAUAGAAUGUGACUUUUUCUUACUCAAUAUAGACCUCAUCUUCUUGAAAA